UACGGAGGGUGCAAGUGUUAUCCGGAAUCACUGGGCGUAAAGCGUCUGUAGGUGGUCAAAUAAGUCAACUGUUAAAUCUUGAGGCUCAACCUCAAAAUCGCAGUCGAAACUAUUAGACUAGAGUAUAGUAGGGGUAAAGGGAAUUUCCAGUGGAGCGGUGAAAUGCGUAGAGAUUGGAAAGAACACCGAUGGCGAAGGCACUUUACUGGGCUAUUACUAACACUCAGAGACGAAAGCUAGGGUAGCAAACGGG
RNAcentral lists this ribosomal RNA (253 nucleotides) under uncultured bacterium. Its description in RNAcentral is "partial 16S ribosomal RNA". It matches the Rfam family "Bacterial small subunit ribosomal RNA", at positions 524 to 776 of the family's 1533-position model. The record is from RNAcentral.